AUCACGAAACUUGAAAUUAGGUAGCUAUCAGCUUCUCGUUCCUUUGUCUUCCUCUAGUGUGGCUCUGGUGAAGGCCUGGAGUUGUGCAAAAAUGUGUUUAAGGAAGUGGAGCUUUAGAUGUCAUGAGGAUAACAAGAAUAAUCUAGGCAAGAUCAAGGCACUGGACCCAAAAGCUGUUGUCCAGUGAACCAAGGUACAGCGCGCGCACGCACACACACACACACACUGUCCCAGUAUUUCAGUGACAGCCACCAGCGUGCUAAACCCUGUUGCAGACACUUGUCGUGUCAAGUGGCAUCUGCAGGAUUGCCAGUUCUCAAGGUUUCCUGGCAGAACAAUCCUUUGUGAUUAUUGACACCUUAAUUGUGUACUGAGACAUGUGCAACACAUUCCAUGGCAUGGAACACUGCCUAAAAGGAAUUAAAGGAACAAUGAGAUGCAUGAGAUCUUAAAAUUGCACCUUAAUUGCCAUGGGUGUUUUAUGUGGUUUUGUGGCUUUAAUGUCAGAGAUGACGGUAAACAUGUCAGAGAGGGGCGGGGUGACGCGCAGCAAAGGGCCUCAGGCCGGGACUCAAAGCUGGAGCAUUUGCUUUUGUUUUACACUGUGGAUCAUACCAUGGAGACAAACUACAAAAGAAGAUGCAUGUUUCUGGUCACUGAAGACUUUUUACAUUUUGUCCAUUAAAAUGUAUGCAAACACUGUUUUUUU
Long non-coding RNA from Acanthopagrus latus (yellowfin seabream), 709 nucleotides. RefSeq lists it as uncharacterized. The record is from RefSeq and is a predicted model, not a curated record. NCBI's taxonomy places the organism in Eukaryota, Metazoa, Chordata, Actinopteri, Spariformes, Sparidae. The transcript is spliced from 2 exons.